GUCUCUGGCCAUACCACCUUGAGCACACUGGAUUCUCCUCUGAUCUCAGAAGCUAAGUAGGGCCAGGCCUGGUUAGUGCUUGGAUGGGAGAUAGGAAAGAGUCUGUCAUCUUGGGAAC
Molecule: ribosomal RNA, 118 nt
Filed under: Canis lupus dingo (dingo)
Lineage: Eukaryota; Metazoa; Chordata; Mammalia; Carnivora; Canidae
Source: RNAcentral